CGAUCACUUUGUUGAAAACGAACACGUGGGUGUACGAAAAAUAGCAAAACCAAUAAAAUUACCUAAAUGUGGUCGUCGUGGGAACUCUGGUGUCGUGGCUCUUUAAUUUAUGGAAUGGCUUAUUGCACACUCCAUGCUGUUUAGCAGGUUUGAGACCAGAGCCAGCCGUCAUAACUCAUAACCACAUGAUAUUCAAGUUUUGCUUGUGCUAGUAUUGUCCUUUCAUCAGUGAAAUCUCGACAGUAUCAUUGCUUGGAUAAACAGCAUCCGGAUUGGAAAAACUACCGAUGUCAGCCGAGUAUCUCUUCUCUCCCUUUCUUUUAAAAAUCUCCUCUGUCCUCGCGUGUACACCCAUGUGUGUGUGGGUGUAUUCGCGGGGACUUCCUUUUUUUUAUCCCGCCCGGUGGAUUCAACUAUUCUGCGGAUGGAGCACCUGUGGAUACCUGGCCGUAUUUCCCAGGCACAAAGAUGGCAAUAGACGGUGUUUACCUAGGACUUUUGAGCUGCAAGGAAUCAUGGCAAUCAAAAUGUUCCACUGG
Molecule: long non-coding RNA, 539 nt
Organism: Daphnia pulicaria
Lineage: Eukaryota; Metazoa; Arthropoda; Branchiopoda; Diplostraca; Daphniidae
Exons: 4
Source: RefSeq, a predicted model, not a curated record